GUAUCGUAUGAGAGAAGAGAUUUGCAUCCUCACUGACAAGGCUAGAAGAGGCUCUGGAGCCGAAAAUAUGAAUAAACUCAUGGCAUUGCCACAUAUUCUGUGCCACAUAACCACUGUUAUUU
Mesocricetus auratus (golden hamster) is the source of this 122-nucleotide small nuclear RNA. Lineage: Eukaryota; Metazoa; Chordata; Mammalia; Rodentia; Cricetidae. The record is from Ensembl.